RNAcentral lists this ribosomal RNA (447 nucleotides) under uncultured bacterium. RNAcentral's name for it is "bacterial SSU rRNA". It matches the Rfam family "Bacterial small subunit ribosomal RNA", at positions 355 to 825 of the family's 1533-position model. The record is from RNAcentral.
UCGGGAAUUUUGGGCAAUGGGCGAAAGCCUGAUCCAGCCAUGCCGCGUGAGUGACGAAGGCCUUAGGGUUGUAAAACUCUUUCGUCGGGGACGAUAAUGACGGUACCCGAAGAAGAAGCUCCGGCUAACUUCGUGCCAGCAGCCGCGGUAAUACGAAGGGAGCUAGCGUUGUUCGGAAUCACUGGGCGUAAAGCGCACGUAGGCGGAUAGUUAAGUCAGGGGUGAAAUCCUGGGGCUCAACCCCAGAACUGCCUUUGAUACUGGCUGUCUCGAGGUCGAGAGAGGUUGGUGGAAUUCCUAGUGUAGAGGUGAAAUUCGUAGAUAUUAGGAAGAACACCAGUGGCGAAGGCGGCCAACUGGCUCGAUACUGACGCUGAGGUGCGAAAGCGUGGGGAGCAAACAGGAUUAGAUACCCUCGUAGUCCCUGAGCGGGCUGGCAAGGCGCAU